UACCUGAUAGUAUGGUGAGAUUGCAUGAUAACACCAUUAAAGAUUUAUUGGUAAACGAUGGGGAUGCGUUCCAUUAGGUAGUAGGCGGGGUAACGGCCCACCUAGCCUGCGAUGGAUAGGGGUUCUGAGAGGAAGGUCCCCCACAUUGGAACUGAGACACGGUCCAAACUCCUACGGGAGGCAGCAGUGAGGAAUAUUGGUCAAUGGGCGAGAGCCUGAACCAGCCAAGUAGCGUGAAGGAUGAAGGUCCUACGGAUUGUAAACUUCUUUUAUACGGGAAUAAAGUUUCCUACGUGUAGGAUUUUGUAUGUACCGUAUGAAUAAGCAUCGGCUAACUCCGUGCCAGCAGCCGCGGUAAUACGGAGGAUGCGAGCGUUAUCCGGAUUUAUUGGGUUUAAAGGGAGCGCAGACGGGAGAUUAAGUCAGUUGUGAAAGUUUGCGGCUCAACCGUAAAAUUGCAGUUGAUACUGGUUUCCUUGAGUGCAGUUGAGGCAGGCGGAAUUCGUGGUGUAGCGGUGAAAUGCUUAGAUAUCACGAAGAACCCCGAUUGCGAAGGCAGCUUGCUAAACUGUAACU
RNAcentral lists this ribosomal RNA (576 nucleotides) under uncultured bacterium. RNAcentral describes it as "bacterial SSU rRNA". It matches the Rfam family "Bacterial small subunit ribosomal RNA", at positions 167 to 741 of the family's 1533-position model. The record is from RNAcentral.